GUGCUUAACACAUGCAAGUCGAGUGCGCGGUUGUAGCAAUACAACUGGCGCACGGCGCACGGGUGCGUAACACGUGGGCAAUCUGCCCUCCGAUGGGGAAUAACUCCGGGAAACCGAAGCUAAUUCCGCAUAACAUUCCCUGGACUCUGGUUCGGGGAUUCAAAGCAGCAAUGCGUCGGAGGAGGAGCCCGCGCCCGAUUAGCUAGUUGGUGAGGUAACGGCUCACCAAGGCAAUGAUCGGUAGCUGGUCUGAGAGGAUGGCCAGCCACACUGGAACUGAGACACGGUCCAG
RNAcentral lists this ribosomal RNA (292 nucleotides) under uncultured bacterium. RNAcentral's name for it is "partial 16S ribosomal RNA". It matches the Rfam family "Bacterial small subunit ribosomal RNA", at positions 44 to 334 of the family's 1533-position model. The record is from RNAcentral.